RNAcentral lists this ribosomal RNA (497 nucleotides) under uncultured bacterium. Its description in RNAcentral is "partial 16S ribosomal RNA". It matches the Rfam family "Bacterial small subunit ribosomal RNA", at positions 28 to 507 of the family's 1533-position model. The record is from RNAcentral.
GAUGAACGCUGGCGGCGUGCCUAAUACAUGCAAGUCGAGCGAACAGACGAGGAGCUUGCUCCUCUGACGUUAGCGGCGGACGGGUGAGUAACACGUGGAUAACCUACCUAUAAGACUGGGAUAACUUCGGGAAACCGGAGCUAAUACCGGAUAAUAUAUUGAACCGCAUGGUUCAAUAGUGAAAGACGGUUUUGCUGUCACUUAUAGAUGGAUCCGCGCCGCAUUAGCUAGUUGGUAAGGUAACGGCUGACCAAGGCAACGAUGCGUAGCCGACCUGAGAGGGUGAUCCGCCACCCUGGAACUGAGACACGGUCCAGACUCCUACGGGAGGCAGCAGUAGGGAAUCUUCCGCAAUGGGCGAAAGCCUGACGGAGCAACGCCGCGUGAGUGAUGAAGGUCUUCGGAUCGUAAAACUCUGUUAUUAGGGAAGAAAAAAUGUGUAAGUAACUAUGCACGUCUUGACGGUACCUAAUCAGAAAGCCACGGCUAACUACGUG